This 508-nucleotide ribosomal RNA is filed under the name uncultured bacterium. RNAcentral's name for it is "partial 16S ribosomal RNA". It matches the Rfam family "Bacterial small subunit ribosomal RNA", at positions 30 to 523 of the family's 1533-position model. The record is from RNAcentral.
AUUGAACGCUGGCGGCAGGCCUAACACAUGCAAGUCGAGCGGCAGCGGGAAAGUAGCUUGCUACUUUUGCCGGCGAGCGGCGGACGGGUGAGUAAUGCCUGGGAAAUUGCCCAGUCGAGGGGGAUAACAGUUGGAAACGACUGCUAAUACCGCAUACGCCCUACGGGGGAAAGCAGGGGACCUUCGGGCCUUGCGCGAUUGGAUAUGCCCAGGUGGGAUUAGCUAGUUGGUGAGGUAAUGGCUCACCAAGGCGACGAUCCCUAGCUGGUCUGAGAGGAUGAGCAGCCACACUGGAACUGAGACACGGUCCAGACUCCUACGGGAGGCAGCAGUGGGGAAUAUUGCACAAUGGGGGAAACCCUGAUGCAGCCAUGCCGCGUGUGUGAAGAAGGCCUUCGGGUUGUAAAGCACUUUCAGCGAGGAGGAAAGGUUGAUGCCUAAUACGUAUCAACUGUGACUUUACUCGCAGAAGAAGCACCGGCUAACUCCGUGCCAGCAGCCGCAGUAA